UAAAAAAAUCUUUAAAAAGUUUUAAACCAAAUUGUAAGUAAAUCCUAAUCCUAAUAAAAUUCUAAAUCAAAUCCUAAUCAUAUCCUGGAUCUUAAACAAAUCCUUAAUAAAUUCUAUAAUAAAUGAAACUUCAACAAAAAAUAAUUGAACCAUUGAUAUCAACUCAAAAUUUGCACACUUCUUAAUGUCUUAGUUAGAAAUAAGCAUAAGAAAGAUGAAUUCAAUUACACUUAUUAAUUGAAAGAAAUACAAGAUAAUCCAAUUGAGUAUUAGGUGGCUCCUAUUCCAAUCUGAAUGUUGAACUUCUAAUACUAAUAUUUCUUUCUUGAAUUAUUGAAUUACUUCCAAAUUUAAUCUAAAUUUUUGAAAAUUGAAUCUAAUAUCCAUACAAAAAAAUUCACUUCAAUCCAAUUGAUAGAUUGCUAAGAUCUUAGAAAUACUCAUUAAUCCUUAAACUCCAAUUCUAAGACCUUAAUACACAAAAACCUUUACUCACUUUGAUGUAAUCAUUUGAUUGACCUCAAAAAUUUUACACACAUUCACAACUAGUACACCAGCACAUUAUCCAAAAUUUACUUAACACAAAACACAAAACUUAAGA
Molecule: long non-coding RNA, 601 nt
Filed under: Physcomitrium patens
Lineage: Eukaryota; Viridiplantae; Streptophyta; Bryopsida; Funariales; Funariaceae
Description: long non-coding RNA (PPAT_LNC007279)
Source: RNAcentral